RNAcentral lists this ribosomal RNA (460 nucleotides) under uncultured bacterium. Its description in RNAcentral is "partial 16S ribosomal RNA". It matches the Rfam family "Bacterial small subunit ribosomal RNA", at positions 338 to 795 of the family's 1533-position model. The record is from RNAcentral.
CCUACGUGUGGCAGCAGUGAGGAAUAUUGGUCAAUGGGCGCGAGCCUGAACCAGCCAAGUAGCGUGAAGGAUGACUGCCCUACGGGUUGUAAACUUCUUUUAUAAAGGAAUAAAGUGAGGCACGUGUGCCUUUUUGUAUUUCUUUUAUUAAUACAGAUCGGCUAACUCCGUGCCCGCCAACGCCGUAAUACGGAGGCUCCGAGCGUUCUACGGAUUUUUUGGGUUUAAAGGGUGCGUAGAUGGGUUGUUAAGUCAGUUGUGAAAGUUUGCGGCUCAACCGUAAAAUUGCAAUUGAUACUGGCAGCAUUGAGUACAGUUGAGGUAGGCGGAAUUCGUGGUGUAGCGGUGAAAUGCUUAGAUAUCACGAAGAACUCCGAUUGCGAAGGCAGCCUACUAAACUGCCACUGACAGUGAUGCUCGAAAGUGUGGGUAUCAAACAGGAUUAGAUACCCGAGUAGUC